RNAcentral lists this transfer RNA (77 nucleotides) under Candidatus Cloacimonas sp. 4484_275. RNAcentral describes it as "tRNA-Pro". It matches the Rfam family "tRNA". From Rfam's summary of the family: Transfer RNA (tRNA) molecules are approximately 80 nucleotides in length. Their secondary structure includes four short double-helical elements and three loops (D, anti-codon, and T loops). Further hydrogen bonds mediate the characteristic L-shaped molecular structure. tRNAs have two regions of fundamental functional importance: the anti-codon, which is responsible for specific mRNA codon recognition, and the 3' end, to which the tRNAs corresponding amino acid is attached (by aminoacyl-tRNA synthetases). tRNAs cope with the degeneracy of the genetic code in two manners: having more than one tRNA (with a specific anti-codon) for a particular amino acid; and 'wobble' base-pairing, i.e. permitting non-standard base-pairing at the 3rd anti-codon position. The record is from RNAcentral. Lineage: Bacteria; Pseudomonadati; Candidatus Cloacimonadota; Cloacimonadia (SeqCode); Cloacimonadales (SeqCode); Cloacimonadaceae (SeqCode). RNAcentral also lists the same sequence under 2 other names.
CGGGAUGUAGCGCAGUUCGGUAGCGCGUACGGUUCGGGACCGUGAGGUCGCAGGUUCAAAUCCUGUCAUCCCGACCA